This is a long non-coding RNA of Sorghum bicolor (sorghum), 825 nucleotides long. RefSeq lists it as uncharacterized. NCBI's taxonomy places the organism in Eukaryota, Viridiplantae, Streptophyta, Magnoliopsida, Poales, Poaceae. The transcript has 3 exons. The record is from RefSeq and is a predicted model, not a curated record.
CGGCCUUGCUUAAUUUUGUUGGGCGAGGCCGGGGCAGACCAACGCUGAAUUGGUCUUACUUGCCAAAAAAAAAAAAAACCGCUGAAUUGGUCUUGGUCCUACUACACCCUCAAUCCUCAUCCCAAAUUUAACCGGCCCAAAACAAAUCUGGCCCGAAACAGAUCCUAAAGAACAGUCUCCCCCCAAUUUCCUGCGCGGUAGCGACCACGGCGCCAGCCGAGCCAAGUAGCCAACAGCUCCACGACCACGAGAUUUCGGUUUUCGGUACCAGAUUACCAGCAACUCCGCGACCGCGAGGCAACGCGGCGGCCGGUGCUAAAACCUGAGCCUUGGUGGAGGAUACCGAGUCGAUGGCCUGGGCGUGCGCGCCACCCGUUCGGCCAAAUGCCCACGAGAAACCUCUCAUUUACGCGGCAAGUAAAAGUAGAGGGGAACUGGUGGCCGGGUCUACUUCAUUGGGCACGCACAACUUCAGUGCAUGGAACUAUGGACAAAACUGAAGCUAAGUUAGACUUGCAGUCUUAGAGAGUUACACAUGAAACAUGAAGAUCAGAACUGCUCCUACGUUACACAAAAGCAAUGCUAGCAGAUGGAGGUAGAAGCUCCAAAAGGUGAAUUAGGUACUACUGUCUGCUGCACUAUAAAGCCAAAGCCUACAUUAGUACAGAAUACAAACUAAGUAUAGCACUUAGUCGACUGGUAAUUUGUUGAGACCUCGGUUGUGCAAGGGAGAGAGUCCCAAGGCAAGGUCAUCCUCCAGUCAUCUGGCAGUGCUCCUUGCAGGUUGAAUGGGAAGUUGAUUGAUCGUGGAGCGGCGGUGACACU